AAUCUUGCGCAAUGGGCGAAAGCCUGACGCAGCAAUGCCGUGUGAAGGAUGAUGGUCUUAGGUUUGAAAAAUACUUUCAUCGGGGACGAUAAUGACGGUACACGGAGAAGAAGCCCCGGCUAACUUCGUGCCAGCAGCCGCGGUAAUACGAAGGGGGCUAGCGUUGCUCGGAAUUACUGGGCGUAAAGGGCGCGUAGGCGGACAUUUAAGUCAGGGGUGAAAUCCCAGAGCUCAACUCUGGAACUGCCUUUGAUACUGGGUGUCUUGAGUAUGAGAGAGGUAUGUGGAACUCCGAGUGUAGAGGUGAAAUUCGUAGAUAUUCGGAAGAACACCAGUGGCGAAGGCGACAUACUGGCUCAUUACUGACGCUGAGGCGCGAAAGCGUGGGGAGCAAACA
This 397-nucleotide ribosomal RNA is filed under the name uncultured bacterium. RNAcentral's name for it is "partial 16S ribosomal RNA". It matches the Rfam family "Bacterial small subunit ribosomal RNA", at positions 360 to 774 of the family's 1533-position model. The record is from RNAcentral.